RNAcentral lists this ribosomal RNA (253 nucleotides) under uncultured bacterium. Its description in RNAcentral is "partial 16S ribosomal RNA". It matches the Rfam family "Bacterial small subunit ribosomal RNA", at positions 524 to 776 of the family's 1533-position model. The record is from RNAcentral.
UACGUAGGGGGCAAGCGUUGUCCGGAUUCAUUGGGCGUAAAGAGCGUGUAGGCGGCCAGGUAGGUCGGUUGUGAAAACUGGAGGCUCAACCUUCAGAGGUCGACCGAAACCAUCUGGCUAGAGUCCGGGAGAGGAGAGUGGAAUUCCUGGUGUAGCGGUGAAAUGGGCAGAUAUCAGGAAGAACACUCGUGGCGAAAGCGGCUCUCUGGAACGGUACUGACGCUGAGACGCGAAAGCGUGGGGAGCGAACAGG